This is a long non-coding RNA of Sinocyclocheilus anshuiensis, 210 nucleotides long. RefSeq lists it as uncharacterized. The record is from RefSeq and is a predicted model, not a curated record. The transcript has 3 exons. Lineage: Eukaryota; Metazoa; Chordata; Actinopteri; Cypriniformes; Cyprinidae.
UUUUUUUUUAAGCUAUAUUUAUGAUCUUUUCAUGCCUUUAUUGUGAGAGGACAGUAGAGAGCUGACAGGAAUGCACUGGGAGGAGAGAAGGGAGCAGGAUCGGCAAAGGACCUCGAGGCGGGAUUCGAACUCGGGUCGCCGUGAGCACAGUUGCGCUAUAUGUCGACACACUAACCACAAGGCUAUGGGCGCCGACUGUGCUUGUAAUAG